Gossypium raimondii (Peruvian cotton) is the source of this 1013-nucleotide long non-coding RNA. RefSeq lists it as uncharacterized. Lineage: Eukaryota; Viridiplantae; Streptophyta; Magnoliopsida; Malvales; Malvaceae. The record is from RefSeq and is a predicted model, not a curated record. The transcript is spliced from 3 exons.
CAUUUCCCAUUUCCCCUUUUCGACGUUUCUCCCUAACCCUAAGCCUAUGCCUUCUUCCCAUUUUUCUCAAUUCGAGUUCACCUCCGGCAGCAAUCCACCUCCGGUCCUCCACCGAUCUACAACCAGACCUCCACGGCUCCACCCAUUUCCAGAAUCAAAGAUUCAAAUCUUAUGAGAAGGCCAAAAAGAAGUUGACAAUAUUAGAGGCUCCAUAUAUUCUUACAAUUGCAUUGAAGAGAUUUCAGUCCGGUAAAUUUGGAAAGCUUAACAAAGCGGUUCGGUUCCCUGAGUUUUUGAUAUCAUGAAUAUAUAGGCUCUAUGGAGUAGUGGUCCAUUUGGAUAUCAUGAAUGCAGCAUUUUCGGGUCCCUACUUGUGCUAUGUUAAAAAUGCUCAAAACAAGUGGUUUAAGAUUGAUGACAGCAUGGUAUGUUCUCUACAACUAUCAUCUGCAUGCCUUAAGCUGUUUCAUUUGUUUACCGCAUGCUUCUUUCCUCGAUCUAUGUUUUCAUCUACAUUAUAUUUUGAUUUCCUACCCUUAAUUUUUGUAAUAGCAUGUUUGGCUUGUUCUCCCUUAAUUUAAUGGGUUUUUUUCCCCAUAUGUAAUGUUUUAGCUAUAGUUGCCAUGUUAAUAAUCAUCGAUUCUUUUAAAUCCUUUGCUUUACAAUCACUUAAUUUUCCUGGGUAAAAGGAGUUGUACAAAAAUACUCCCUAAUGUUUUGAAAUAAACUAAGGGUGACUUUGUAUUCUUCCUUUUGAUUUUGGACUGCAUUAAACAGUUUUUUUUCUAAUGGCUUUUGAGACAGUGAAAAAGUUGGAAAAUACUCCGGUUAGCAUCUAUUUUUGAUGUCUAAGUUGGAGGCAUUUUAUAUUUUUCUGUCUGAUGCACCAAUCUGUAGGCCAAAAAUGCUACCCUAAAGCACAAGAUACUCAGUUUGAAAAUAUUCACUCAAUUUCAUCCGCUCAUGUUCUAUCUUCAUGUUACUCAUUAAUGUUAUGUUUUAAUUAUGUUAAA